This 23-nucleotide non-coding RNA is filed under the name Cricetulus griseus (Chinese hamster). The record is from RNAcentral. Lineage: Eukaryota; Metazoa; Chordata; Mammalia; Rodentia; Cricetidae.
ACAGUAGGACUUGAUGUUGAUAC